Callithrix jacchus (white-tufted-ear marmoset) is the source of this 1984-nucleotide long non-coding RNA. The record is from Ensembl. Lineage: Eukaryota; Metazoa; Chordata; Mammalia; Primates; Cebidae.
UAAAUAUGGUAACAGUAGAUACUGAGCAUUAGUAGAGGGUGGGAUUAAAAACUACCCAUUGAGUACUACAUUCACUACCAGGUGACAGGAUCUGCAUUUUAAAUCUAAGCAACAUGCAGUAUUCCCAUGACAUGUACCCCCAUAUCUAAAAUAGAAGUUGAAAUAAAACGUAUCUGGGUAUAACUUUGAACUCCCCGAAACCUGACUAAUGGUAACCUAUAACAUAAAUAGUCAAUGAACUCAUGCUUUGUGUCUUAUAUGUCCUGUGUACUGUAUUCUUACAGUAGAGUAAGCCAGAAAAAGAAAAUCAACAGAAAGAGAAACUAUAUUUACUGUGUAUUUAGUGAAAGUGGUUUGUCAUGAAGGUCUUCAUCCUUGUCUUCAAGUUAAGUAGACUGAAGAGGAGGAAAACGAGGAGAGGUUGGUCCUGCUGUCUCAGGAGUGGCAGAGGCAGAAGGAGAUCCACAGGUAAGUGGACCUUCACGGUUUGAAUCUGUCUUGUUCAAGGUUCAGUGCAUUUCAGUCAUUCAUCACUGCUGUCGCUUGGAUAAUCCAGGGCUUUCCUUCCUUGUUCAUUCCUCCUUCCUUCUUGUCUCCUCUCCUCAGAGGUUUAAAGUUUCUCAGGAAUGGGCUUUUCUGGAGAGCAAUGGCCUUUCACUCAGAGAAUGGACCUAAGCAGAUAACUCUUAUGGAAAUAAUGUUGGCCCUUUUAGGCACAUGCCUAAGCUGGUAUAAAAACAGUGGAGCAGAGAAGCCAACCCCAACCCAAGCUCUGUAGCCUUCUUCCUUCCCUUUGCAGAGUGCAUGCGGUAGACAGCAAGGAGAACCCGGCCAUAGGAGCAUGCAAUACCAAUGAAGGGAAACACGAGAAAGAUGGCAGCGCUCAAAAACACUGUGCCCUCAUAGACCCAGGUGUCCAUGCAGGCCAGAGUCACCAUGGCUGGGACAUGACAGAAGAAGUGAUUGAUGGCCCUGGCUGCACAACAGGGAUAUGGAGCAUAUAUAAAGCAUGAGCACAAGUGUAGGUAAGGCUUAUCAUCAUACCCUCUUUUGCUCAUAUGGAUGGAAUACUGGAGAGUAAUGCAAAUAGCCACAUAAAGAUCAUAAGCCAUUCAUGUCAGGAGCAGCGCUUCUGCAUCUGCUGAAGUCAAAAAGAAGUUUUGAAUCCCACUCCCAGUGAAGCAGAUAGACUUGUUUCCAAACAGAAAAUCAGAAAACGUCUUGGGGACAAUAGUGGAGAUGUAAUUUAGGUCAAUGAGGAAGAGCUGACUAAGAUACACAUUGGUGUGUGGAGUUGGUUGUCCAAGAUGAGAAGAGAUGAGAAGAAUCGUGGACACAUUGCCAACCAGAGCCAUUAGGAAAAUGAGAACAAUGAGAAUGAGGAGAUAAAGGCCGCGUCUGGAUGAUGGGAAGAACCCCAGCAAGAUGAAAUCAGCUGACAUUUGAUUGUAAUCUUCCAUGGGGCAUUCCUACGAUCCUUCCUGAAGGGAGACACAAGAGUGAGUGAGAUACAGUAGUUCCCCCUCACCCACAAUCGACGCAGUCCAAGACCCCCCGUGGAUGCCUGAGACUAAGGAUAGCACUGAAUUUUAUACACACGAUUUCACUGGAUCCAUACAUACUUACGAUAACCUUCAAUUUAUAAAUUAGACAAGAAAUUAACAAAAAUAAUAAAAUAGAACAAUUAUAGAAAUACACUGUAAUAAAAUCUAUGUAAAUGUGGUCUCUUUCUCUCAAAAUAUCUUAUCAUACUAUAUUCUCUCUUCUUGUGAUGACAAAAUAUUCAAAUAUUCAAAAAAUUGAAACAAACUUAAUUGCAGUCUCUUGAUUCCCAAGCACGGAAUCAGUUCAUCCUUGAUCAUUGUGUGACCGGUGAUAACUCCUGACAUAGUCACUGAAAAACAGCAAAUCAUUUGCUUUCUUCGUUCUCUUUUCAUUCAGUGUAGUUUGGUUUUCAGUACAGGACACAGCAUAUUAAACUGAG